GGUCCGGAGCCGGAGCGAAAGCGAGUCCGAACAGGGCGUAAAGUCGCCGGAGGCAGACGCGAAACCGAGUGAUCUACGCAUGGGCAGGAUGAAGACGUGGUAACACACGUUGGAGGUCCGAACCGGUAAGCGUUGAAAAGCUUUCGGAUGACCUGUGCGUAGGAGUGAAAGGCCAAUCAAACUCGGAGAUAGCUCGUACUCCCCGAAAUGCAUUUAG
RNAcentral lists this ribosomal RNA (217 nucleotides) under Acinetobacter baumannii. RNAcentral's name for it is "partial 23S ribosomal RNA". It matches the Rfam family "Bacterial large subunit ribosomal RNA", at positions 657 to 873 of the family's 2925-position model. The record is from RNAcentral. Lineage: Bacteria; Pseudomonadati; Pseudomonadota; Gammaproteobacteria; Moraxellales; Moraxellaceae.